UUUUCUGUGUCUCAAGUGCAGCCUCCUAAUUGUGACUCGAUGUUUAAAUUCAUUGGCAGAAGAAGUCUGCUCACUGAUUUUAUUUUUCUUGAACUGAAGAAGACAGCAGAAUGGAGUGACAGAGAGAAACUUUCUUUUAACCCAUUAUAGGAGAAGAAUUUUGGAAGACCAGUGUUUAGCUUUGGGCUGCUGUUUAUUCACAAGGGACCAAUUUCAGCCCUCAGUUACACAGAAAGGAAGAACACGGAGCAUGAUAUCUGUAAAUAUUUUGUUUUGUGCAUCUUGAGCCUAGCUGAAAAGCCCGACCAGACCCAUAACGGUAAACUUGCUCAAAUAUCACGUAUACAUGCAGAAAAGUGAAAAACCUAAUUAGUGUCACCUGAGAUGAAAGCUCUGCAAUCAUGACUGCAAUCUCAAAACAAUUAAUCAUCCACCUACAACUCUCACUUCCUGAAUAGAGUGUUGAUCCUCCCCAAAGAUACGGUUGAUAGCCUAUUUCCUGAGUGAAGCGAGCAAGGAGUGCAUUUUCAAUAUGAAGUGUUUCCAACAUCCUCAGAUAUUAAAUACACAGCUGGAUUGAUUCCCAGGUCCAUUAUCCUGUUUUUUUGGCUUGGAGGGAUGUGGCAAGACUCCAGCAAGGAGGUGGAGCGCCCUGUAAAAAUGCAAAGCUUUCAAGGCAUCCAGUUAGCUUCGACUCUGGAGGAAAUGUUAGGGGAGUCAGCUGAAAGAUGGGAUGGCUGGAAGCAACAGCAAGAGGAAAAGCCAGGUGUUUUUCAAGAUCUUUCUCAGGAUAUUUGCCCAAUGUCAAAAUAGACCUUCAAAUGCGGGGCACAUGGAUUAAAAGAAUUUGGACAAAGCUGUAUCCCAUUUUUCCCACUCCAAAUUCUCUGGAUCACUUUGCUUCGUUUUCUACAUUUUGGCCAUGCCGCCAAUUCAGUCAAAUGC
Molecule: long non-coding RNA, 945 nt
Organism: Alligator sinensis (Chinese alligator)
Lineage: Eukaryota; Metazoa; Chordata; Crocodylia; Alligatoridae
Exons: 3
Source: RefSeq, a predicted model, not a curated record